GGACUGGGUAUAAAGUGUCAUGGCGGAUGAGUAGUGAGAAAUACUUUUAUAAGGCAGAGUUAAACACAAGAAAUGUAUCACCUUGUCAAAAGAGCAGUGACACCUCACCCAACUCUGUCCAUUCUAAGAAGAAACUACUGGUCUCAGCGCAAAGGACCAAACUACUCCACAAACAUGAUUGUGGUUGGAAUAUCAACUAUCAUUUGUGGUUUAGUUGGCAUUGGUUACCAAAAAUGGAAAUUAGACAAGGAAUAUGAAAUUUAAGGAAGAAAACUAAAGUAGUGCCAGGCCAUCCUAACAGCUAACAGCUGCAGCCAAGGUGGAACUAUAGACAACUUUUUUUUUUUUGCAAGAUACCUUAAUAUACCACAGGACUGAAAAGAUUUUGGUUUUGUUGCCAGAAGAAUUUCAAGACUCAACAGAUUUUUGCUGUAGUUAACUUUUUGAAAUCAGCCUUCUAUGACAGCAUUAAAACAAAUCCCUGAAGAGGAAUCUUUCAGUUUCCUAUGGCAGCGGCAUAUUUUCCUGGUGAAAAAUAAGGAUAUUGUUUGGUGCAGGUAACAGGAAUGCAGACAUUCAUGGAGACAAGUUGCUCAGUGUCGAAAUGAUAAAAUUAAAAUUAAUUUUGGAAACUUGUGGAUGUCCUUUGUUUGUUUGCCCUGUUAAUGUGUUGAAAAAGACGUAAAGUGCCUUAAAUUUUAUCCUUCUCCUAACACCUAAGCUCUAGGAAAAGAAAUAAAGGUAGUGACAUGUCUUCUUAUUAAAAAUCCCAUUGAGAUGGCAACAAGACUCCCAGAGGAAAUGCUAGAAGACAAUCAUUCUUCCUAUGAAUCACAUUUUCAUAAUGUAUGUUAUAUUUCAUGCAAAAUUUGUCUUAUAUAUCCCAUGGAAAAAAUGUCGUAAACAACUUCUUGCGUGACAUUUCUUAAUUUGAUGCUUAUGUAACGAAGUUAAUUAAUUUUGUAAGAGUCACGGCAAGUUC
Molecule: long non-coding RNA, 982 nt
Organism: Pocillopora verrucosa
Lineage: Eukaryota; Metazoa; Cnidaria; Anthozoa; Scleractinia; Pocilloporidae
Source: RefSeq, a predicted model, not a curated record